UGCAUUCUGUAACACAAAAGAACAGAUCAAAAAUAACAAACUCCAUCAAUAACAUGAAUGCUAAAAACUCAAAGGAAAAGUUAGUCUAAAAACAUAAAGCAAAACAAAGUUCUUGACGGGAUUGAACUUGAAGUUUCGGUGGUGAGGCUUGGUUUCAUGGGAAAUUGGAAGCAUUGAAACAAGUUUUGAACGACAUCAAGUACAUAAACGCAAGACAAAUAAAAGUUCUCCUUAGGCGAUUUCAAGAAGUUCUUCACAGUUUUCGUGAAAAAGUGCAACGUGAUCUUCAUGGAUUCAAUUCUAUAGUAAGUUCUAAAGAAGAUUGAAGACUUGACGAAGACGUUUGGAUUAGCGAUCUCCAGACUAUUUUAGGUCUUGUUAAGUUCGAGGAUGCUACUUUUUAUUAUUCUAGAUUAGUACAUUAGAUAUGGCUAGUGGCUUCUGUCCCUAUUGUGUCAUUUCAAACAUUUGUUCAACAAUUUGUAAUAAGGCCUAUUGGCAAAUUAUUAUUAUUAUU
Long non-coding RNA from Solanum lycopersicum (tomato), 517 nucleotides. RefSeq lists it as uncharacterized. The record is from RefSeq and is a predicted model, not a curated record. Lineage: Eukaryota; Viridiplantae; Streptophyta; Magnoliopsida; Solanales; Solanaceae.